Molecule: long non-coding RNA, 3383 nt
Organism: Oxyura jamaicensis (ruddy duck)
Lineage: Eukaryota; Metazoa; Chordata; Aves; Anseriformes; Anatidae
Exons: 4
Source: RefSeq, a predicted model, not a curated record
UUGGACUUGAUUUACAUAUAUAAACAAAUAAAAAGUUACACACCUGCAGUUGCUUCAGCCAGCUGGCAAAUGCCUGAGCAGAAGCUGCAUUCCUGGAUCAUGACAUUUAGCAGAGCACCAGACUUACAUGAACUGCUCACUGAUAUAACUAUUGGCAGCAGCUAGUGCCUAUGCCCCCAUUGGCCUUUCUCCCAUGAAGGUGAGGUACAGCAAGAGGAAGGCCCAGAGCAGCAAAUCCAGCCACCUCUGCUCCUUUUUGCGCAAGCGCCUUGCGUUUGCUCCAGCACAUGGCCCAGGAAAUCCAACCAGUUUAGCAGGAGUGCUUGGGGGUCUCUGUGCAGGAAUUGAUAUGCAGUUGUAUCUGCAGUUGAAAACACAGAUAGCAAAGACAGGGCCUGAUCCUGAAAAGUCUCUGUCUCUAUCUGGUAGAUUGCAUUGGAAGGGGAGAUGAGGGAACAGGAACAUUAAUGACAAGCCCUGACCUCCUUUAAAUCAUUAGCAAACCUUCCUUUGCCUUCUGCACAUGGGCAAAAACCUCAGCUAUUUAAAAUCUGAGCCAGGUGGCAGUUGUGGCCCAGGGUACCCCCUUUGUCGCUACCACACAAGCUGUUCUAGCAUUUCAUCUCCACUGUCAGUUUGUAUACAGCUUGACAAAAAUGGGUUGCCACUGAGGGCCACAGUCAAAGGUAUAAGCUAUGUAAGUUUUCUGUACUAACACCAAAGCUUGUCUCCUUGCCUCCUGUCUGGAAUAUUUUGACACAAAUGGUUCCAUACAUGACAGAUCUAAACUUAAUGUGGGUCAGAGGCAAACUAAAAUCUACAGAUAGCUAUGGCACUGGCAAAAAUCAGAAAUUUCUGUCCGCAAGACUGCAGAAUGGAAAAAUAAUAUGUUAUUAAAGAAGACCUGCAUAGUUUCAAUGGAACAGUAAGUGCUCAGCACUUUCUGAUGAGGGAUUUAGACUUGGACAUGUGAAGAACUGAUGUUAGAAAAUGAUCAAACAUGUUUUUAAUGUGUUUUUAACAGUUAACAUUUCUUGGCAUUGUGUGAAAAGCACUGGUAACUCCUGUGGCAGGAAUGAGAGUUCCCACAUGUUUAAGGUUGGGUAUGUAUUUAAACACUUGACUCGAUUAAAACUUUGGGGCAGUGCAAGUUUCAUUAAUAAUAAUCUAGUGUUUCACCACAGGAUACUCUAAUUGUUCUUCAUCAGGAAGAUGUGAUCCCAGAGACAGAAAGAUUAUGCAUUUAAGAGGCUGAAAUGAUAACAUUCAAAGCACUACCCUACAUGAUAAUGAAUCGCCUGUUCAUCCUGUAGACUUUGAUGAUAGCAAGCAAACUGCAUGCAUGUUGGGCAGCUGCUUUUGGGGAUAGACUUCACCUGGAUUACAGCAAAUCUCUGGAUAGCAACCUAUCAUGGUUUAGGGAUGCACAAAAACUGCUCCCUGCCUUGUGUCUUCUAACCUCUGCUGGAGAACUGGCCAUCCACUACGUGCUAUAGCAUGAGGUGAGACAGCUCCCUACCUCACAGCUUGCCUCCGCCAGCAAGGACAGUGCUGUGUUCUUCCUGUGUGCGGAUGGCAUUCUUACACGACAGGCCACAACAUAGGGCUCUUGUCCGGGAUACUGUCUGCAGGCUGCUGAGGGCAUGCCAAUGUGGGGAAGAAAACGCUGCUUCAUGAAAAAAGGAGUAUGGAAAUGAUAGGGAGUAAAGGACAACAGCAGAAGAAGGACUGACAAUUAGCGCUCAGACACAGACACCUGAAAUGCCUGAAGGCCACCCAAAAUAAAGACAGUGUUGCUAAUUCCAGAGAUGGGACCAGAACAAUAUGUGAAUGUCUCUGGGUGCAGCAUGGAAAGAACAAGAGGUCUGUGGACACAGCAUGCAUGCUUAGAGCCUCACUUCAGUAACCACGUGAAUGCUAAAACACUUCUGUGUCUCGGCCUGGGUAUCUCCCAUCUCAGCGCAAAGGCCUUAAACCUUCCAUUAAGCAUGAUGAAGCUUUGCAGAGUUUGUGUGCAGAGCAUGACAACAUGGUCUGUGCACAAGGGUGGAAAAGAGGAUUUGUCCCUUGUUGUUUUCUGUGGGGAGGGAGAAGGUGUUUGAACAAAGAGCUGGUCAGGGAGACCAGACACCAAUGGCUUCCUACAGUCUGAGGCAUAACAUCCCACCUAUUUUGUUAGAAAUUGCCCUGGUCCUGUCUGAACUUGCUGCUUUUUCUGUCUUUCGUGCCAGUGAUAGGAAUGACAUCAGAAGUGCUGAGUCAUGAGCAGAUGUGCCUCAGACUCUGCCACGUUAGCCCAAACUCUGUGCCCCCUGGUCUUUUGAAACCUUCCUUCAGCAGGCCUCUGGCACACACAUUAAAGGCCAGUUUUUCGACGUCAUCUAGUGCCAGUCAAAAAAGAUGAGAGCUUUUUAAUUGGUUUUAUCUGUCUACAUUUUAUGUUAUCAGUGGUUUCCUUUUCUGCUUGCUUGUCCUUCUCAUCCAUGCAGUUUUGCUUGCUUCUAGGCUGUUUACACUCACAUCAUGUAUGUUAAGAGUUGCCACAUGGUGAUUUGACUUAAACAAAUAAUGUAACAAGUAGCACACAGGAAAUGAAACAGAAAAAUAUUUACGGGAAAUGUAAUUUUGGAGGAACAGGACAUUUAGUGAAAUUUGUUUCAGAUGCUUUGUUUGGAGGCUCUUUUGCUUACAUGUCACAUCAUUUCGUAGGCAGAAGGGGGAAUUUCCCUGUGUCUGUAAUUGUAAGGUUUUUGUAAUAAAACUACAGAAGAGGCCCAAAUGGGAGACCUUGAAAGGCCAGGAUUUCACAAGCAAAAGGUCCGUGUUGAAAAUGCCAUGUUAAUCCUCAGUGAUGUAAUGGAGAAACAAUUAUCUAAGAAGAAGAGCCUUUUCUGGGUUUCUUUUAUUCUAGAUAAAAAUCUGGCUAGCUUGUUCCAGUAAGUGAUGGGUGCACAAAGCCUGCAGCUUGCCCCAGGCCCCAAUACAUCCUCGACAUCCUUGAACCUCAGCAGAGAAGCCUGGUGUUUCUGUGAUGUAGAGCUGGAUGCGAGUUUCUGCCCUUCCAUGCACGGCCAGAGGGGUUAUCAGCCUAGCAAUGCCAUUCACCAUUCCUGCUGCUUGAAACCUGAGUCCCAUUUUGCUCCCACAUGACCCAUGGCAACUAUGCCACUUGGAAAUCAAAACCUCUUCCUGUCUUGGAGCAGGAGAUCUCAGAAGGAGCGAUGUCCUGGGGGAGGGACCUGACAAAGCGCUGGCCCUUCACUACUUCUUGCUCCUCUACCUCAUCCUUCUGUAGAUCUUCAGCUUUCUUAGGGCAUCCUCAGUCCCCUUCUGUUCCCAUCAUAACAAGAUAAGUAGGAUCUCUUACAGGCUCCCUUCUGAGA